Molecule: long non-coding RNA, 2363 nt
Filed under: Betula platyphylla (Asian white birch)
Lineage: Eukaryota; Viridiplantae; Streptophyta; Magnoliopsida; Fagales; Betulaceae
Source: RNAcentral
CGCUUAAAUGGCUUUGACGAGUCGAGUCAGGUACUUGAGCGGCUCAACUCGGCUCGAGCUCGAGCUAGAGUAUACAAUUUCUAAAAGCCCUAAUCGAGUCCAAGCUUGGUAAAAAGGCUUUUCGAGCCUUAAAUGGGCAGCUCGGCUCAUUUAGUUGCUUUAAGUAGUUUUUUAAAAUGUGAUUAAAAAAAAAACUUAAAAACACAAACAAUAUGAAACAGAUAAACAUGAUUGACUAAAGAUAUAAAUAGGUACUUUUGAGUUUUGAGCAUUUACGAGAAAAUUCAAUUAUAAACUAAACUUGAUUUUCAAAUUUGGGAAAUUAAUACUACGCAUAAAUAAAAGAAAUACAAAUACAAAGACAAACUUAAAAGAGAGAUCAACAAAGACUUAAAGUCUUAAAAAGAGUUUAAAUUUACAUAACUUACUAAAAUACAACACAAAUUACAACAUUAUCAAUUAAUGUAAUCUGGCCAUCUAGGUUGCCACUUGCCACCCACACUAGGCAUCAAUGCAAAUCUACAAAGACUGACUAGCUUAAGUCAGUAAACCACCAGCUAGCAUAACCAAUCAUACUCCUGAAUGACUUCUAAACUCGCACCGGAACCAACGCUAAUCCCUCAACCUGCAACAAAAGUAACAUCUAUGUAAUCAUAGAGAUCAUCCAUGAUUACAUAGGAGAAGAAAAGAAGAAAGGGUGAGUCAACAGUUCAUAAAGAAUGAAGACUCCCCCGAGGGUUUUCGCAAUGAGCCAAACUUUUAUUUAUGUAAUCGCUUACAAUAUCAGCCACUCAAUUCCAUAAAAAUAUUAUUCUUUCAUUUAUUACACUCAGUGUGGCUGAUGAAGUAAACAACACAUUCAUAAAGCAAUUUAAAUCAUUAUAUAACUGUGAAUGUAUGCAUAUGCUCCAAAAAUAUGUUUGGAUACAUAUACAUAUGAACCAUCUAAUGCACAUCUUGUACCAAAUAAAAUUCAUAAAACAUCAUAUGCAAUCCAGCUGUAAACGUAUACGUAAGUUCUUCCCCUUUGAGAAUCUUAUGCAUACCCAUACAUCUAGCAUGACAUACCUCUUAAACCAAUACAUACUUUGACAUUCAUCAUCUCAUUCUUCAUAUACAUACAAAUACAUCUAGCAUGAAAUCUCAUAAAACAUAAUACAUAUACACAUCAUUAAAACAUAACCGUGCAAUACAUACUUUGACAUUCAUCAUCUCAUUCUUCAUAUACAUACAAAUACAUCUAGCAUGCAAUCUCAUAAAACAUAAUACAUAUACAUAUCAUUAAAACGUAACCGUGCAAUACAUACAUAACUUUCGAGGACUUGUCCUCCAUUCAUACAUUUACAUCUUUUCAUCUUUUCAGCACCGAGGGCUUGCCCUCCGAGAAUUGUCUCGAACUGAUGCUGAGGACUUGUCCCACUCAUUUAAUCUAUUCAUACAAUUACAUCUUUUCAUCUUUUCAGCACCGAGGGCUUGCCCUCCGAGAAUUGUCUCGAAUUGAUGCUGGGGACUUGUCCCACUCAUUUAAUCUUUUCAUACAAUUACAUCUUUUCAUCUUUUCAGCACCGAGGGCUUGCCCUCCGAGAAUUGUCUUGAACUGAUGCUGGGGACUUGUCCCACUCAUUUAAUCUAUUCAUUCAUUUACAUAUAAAUCAUCAAUAGUGGGCCCAGCCCUGUCAUUUGAUAAUAGUGAGCCCAGCUCUGUCAUUUGAUAAUAGUGAGCCCAGCUCUGUUCAUGCUCAUUUCAAUGUACUUACAAAUCUCAACAAUCAUGUUUCAACAACAGCAUUUAAAUCAAUCUUCCUUCAUCAUAAUCUCAAAAUCUCAAAGCAACAAAGUAAUCAAUACAUCAUAGCAUUUCUUUCAUAUCUUAAAACUUUCACAAUCACAACCACAAUAUCAAUCAUAUCUCAUCAAAUAUCUCAUAAAACAUUGAAAGUAUCAAGUAGUAAUAAAGCAUGCUCAAACAACAUAUGAAUGGCUCGACUUUUUCAUAACUUUAAAGAAACUUUAAAGACAUUAAAAUUCUGCUCUUUCUCAACUUGUUUAGCAUCUUUAAAAUAUCUAAAAUCAUUGAUAAAAUUCUUUGAAAACAUAAAACGUAUUCGUCCUCAGUGAGUAAAAGAUUACUCACCUUAAGAGACCAUGAGGGAUUCACAACUAAGGCGCUCAAGCUUGCUUACUCUCGCAAAUGCUUCCACGAUCCAAUUACCUUGUACUACAUUGGAGUACUAGCUUUAGUCUCCAAUCUCAUGUAACAUACCUCUUCUUCUUCUCAAUUUUCUGCAUCUCUCUCUCUCACGGCAUCAUCUCUCUCUCUCUCUCUCGGUCUAGGACAGCAUGAACGAAGAAACAGGGAGAAG